CGCAAGCCUGACGGAGCAACGCCGCGUGCGGGAGGACGGCCUGUGGGUUGUAAACCGCUUUUCUCAGGGAAGAAGUUCUGACGGUACCUGAGGAAUCAGCAUCGGCUAACUCCGUGCCAGCAGCCGCGGUAAUACGGAGGAUGCAAGCGUUAUCCGGAAUUAUUGGGCGUAAAGCGUCCGUAGGCGGUGAGUUAAGUCUGCUGUCAAAGCCUGCAGCUCAACUGUGGAGUGGCAGUGGAAACUGAUUGACUAGAGUGCGAUAGGGGUAGAGGGAAUUCCCAGUGUAGCGGUGAAAUGCGUAGAUAUUGGGAAGAACACCAGUGGCGAAGGCGCUCUACUGGGUCGCAACUGACGCUGAGGGACGAAAGCUAGGGGAGCG
This 379-nucleotide ribosomal RNA is filed under the name uncultured cyanobacterium. RNAcentral describes it as "bacterial SSU rRNA". It matches the Rfam family "Bacterial small subunit ribosomal RNA", at positions 376 to 770 of the family's 1533-position model. The record is from RNAcentral. Lineage: Bacteria; Bacillati; Cyanobacteriota.